RNAcentral lists this ribosomal RNA (253 nucleotides) under uncultured bacterium. RNAcentral's name for it is "partial 16S ribosomal RNA". It matches the Rfam family "Bacterial small subunit ribosomal RNA", at positions 524 to 776 of the family's 1533-position model. The record is from RNAcentral.
UACGGGGGGGGUAAGCGUUGUUCGGAAUUACUGGGCGUAAAGGGUUCGUAGGUGGCCUACUAAGUCAGACGUGAAAUCCCUCAGCUUAACUGGGGAACUGCGUCUGAUACUGGGGGGCUUGAGGACAGGAGAGGAACGCGGAAUUCCAGGUGUAGCGGUGAAAUGCGUAGAUAUCUGGAGGAACACCGGUGGCGAAGGCGGCGUUCUGGACUGUUUCUGACACUGAGGAACGAAAGCCAGGGGAGCAAACGGG